This 373-nucleotide ribosomal RNA is filed under the name uncultured organism. RNAcentral describes it as "partial 16S ribosomal RNA". It matches the Rfam family "Bacterial small subunit ribosomal RNA", at positions 527 to 896 of the family's 1533-position model. The record is from RNAcentral.
GUAGGUGGCAAGCGUUGUCCGGAAUUAUUGGGCGUAAAGCGCGCGCAGGCGGUUCUUUAAGUCUGAUGUGAAAGCCUACGGCUCAACCGUGGAGGGUCAUUGGAAACUGGAGAACUUGAGUACAGAAGAGGAAAGCGGAAUUCCACGUGUAGCGGUGAAAUGCGUAGAGAUGUGGAGGAACACCAGUGGCGAAGGCGACUUUCUGGUCUGUAACUGACGCUGAGGCGCGAAAGCGUGGGGAGCAAACAGGAUUAGAUACCCUGGUAGUCCACGCCGUAAACGAUGAGUGCUAAGUGUUAGGGGGGUUUCCGCCCCCCUUAGUGCUGCAGCUAACGCAUUAAGCACUCCGCCUGGGAGUACGGCCGCAAGGCUG